UGAGGAAUAUUGCACAAUGGGCGAAAGCCUGAUGCAGCGACGCCGCGUGGGUGAAGAAGGUUUUCGGAUCGUAAAACCCUUUUCUGUGUGACGAGAACGGACGGUAGCACAGGAAUAAGUCUCGGCUAACUACGUGCCAGCAGCCGCGGUAAUACGUAGGGACCAAGCGUUGUUCGGAUUUACUGGGCGUAAAGGGCGCGUAGGCGGCAUGACAAGUCACUUGUGAAAUCUCUGGGCUUAACCCAGAACGGCCAAGUGAUACUGUCGCGCUAGAGUGCAGAAGGGGCAAUCGGAAUUCUUGGUGUAGCGGUGAAAUGCGUAGAUAUCAAGAGGAACACCUGAGGUGAAGACGGGUUGCUGGGCUGACACUGACGCUGAGGCGCGAAAGCCAGGGGAGCAAACGGGAUUAGAUACCCCUGUAGUCCCUGAGCGGGCUGGCAAGGCGCAU
Molecule: ribosomal RNA, 448 nt
Filed under: uncultured bacterium
Lineage: Bacteria
Description: bacterial SSU rRNA
Rfam family: Bacterial small subunit ribosomal RNA
Source: RNAcentral